Molecule: ribosomal RNA, 963 nt
Filed under: Triticum aestivum (bread wheat)
Lineage: Eukaryota; Viridiplantae; Streptophyta; Magnoliopsida; Poales; Poaceae
Description: partial small subunit ribosomal RNA
Source: RNAcentral
AUGGGCUUCCCUCUCACAAAAGUUGAGCUAAAAUCUCACUCGCGCAACAACCCCAACCCCAACCCUGCUGCUGCCGAGCAAAAAUCCCCAUCCCCUUCCCUUUUCCUUCCCCACAAAUCAAUCAAACCCUCCAUCAAUCACGCGGCGCGCCUCCAAGUCCAAGAUUCGAUUUUGCUUCUGUGUAGGGGAGGGGAGGGGAGGGAAGAGGAGGCGAUCCAGGGAGGGAACAUGGAUCAGCAGGAGGAGGAAGCGUCCGUCUCCGUCAGCGUCAGCGUCAGCGUUCCAUCCUCGUUGCAUCUGGAGGAGGAGGAGGAGGAGGAGGAGGAGGAGGAGGAGGAGGAGGAGCAGGAUGAAGAAGAGGAAGACCAACAAGACAUGGCUCCGGUGAAGAUGGCGCUGGGCCCUCAGGUUCCCCUCAAGGACCUCCUCCACCUCCACAAGGAGGAGGAGGAGGGGGAGGAUGAGAGCCUCCGUAGAUGGAAGGAGCAGCUCCUCGGACCAGAUGCUGUCCACACCACAAACCUCCUCCAUGCCCUUGGAGCAGAGACCGUCGAACCGGAGGUGACCAUACUCAACCUCACCAUCCUCGCACCAGGGAGGCCUGACCUGCUUCUGCCGAUACCCUUCGUGCCCGAUGACAAGGGCCACGCCUUCGCGCUCAAGGACGGCUGCGCAUACAGCUUCCGCUUCUCCUUCGCCGUCUCCAACAACAUCGUGUCCGGUCUCAAGUACUCACACACCGUCUGGAAGACCGGAGUUAAAGUGGAGAACCAGAAGGUGAUGCUGGGGACAUUCAGCCCUCAGCAGGAGCCCUACACGUACAAGGCUGAGGAAGAUAGCACCCCGAGCGGCAUCUUUGCAAGGGGUUCCUAUUCUGCCAGAUUAAAGUUUGUGGAUGAUGAUGGGAAGGUGUACCUGGACAUGAGGUACAGCUUUGAGAUCAGGAAGGACUGGCCUAAUUAA